GUGCUCGCUUCAGCAGCACAUAUGCUUUGGAGCAAUACGGAGAAGAUUAGUAUGGUCCCUGCACAAGGAUGACAUGCAACCUUGUGAAACCCUCCUUCCAUAC
This is a small nuclear RNA of Nannospalax galili (Upper Galilee mountains blind mole rat), 103 nucleotides long. The record is from Ensembl. NCBI's taxonomy places the organism in Eukaryota, Metazoa, Chordata, Mammalia, Rodentia, Spalacidae.